GGCGAGUGAAGCGGGAAGAGCUCAAAUUUGUAAUCUGGCACUUUCAGUGUCCGAGUUGUAAUCUCGAGAAGUAUUUUCCGCGCCGGACCGCAUACAAGUCUGUUGGAAUACAGCGUCAUAGUGGUGAGAACCCCGUAACUGAUGCGGAUGCCCGGUGCUUUGUGAUAUACUUUCGAAGAGUCGAGUUGUUUGGGAAUGCAGCUCAAAUUGGGUGGUAAAUUCCAUCUAAAGCUAAAUAUUGGAGCAAGACCGAUAGCGAACAAGUACCGUGAGGGAAAGAUGAAAAGCACUUUGGAAAGAGAGUUAACAGUACGUGAAAUUGUUGGAAGGGAAACGCUUGAAGUCAGACUUGCUAUUCGGAGUUCAGCCGCAAGGUGUAUUCUUCGAUUUGCAGGCCAGCAUCAGUUUUUGGGGGUGGAAAAUCGUGGUUUGAAGGUAGCAGUUUCGGCUGUGUUAUAGCUUUCCACUGGAUUCAUCUUCGGGGACUGAGGAACGCAGUACGCUUUUUGCAAGGCUUUCGAGCUUUUCGUACUUAGGAUGCUGGUGGAAUGGCUUUAAACGA
This 562-nucleotide ribosomal RNA is filed under the name Leucosporidium creatinivorum. RNAcentral's name for it is "eukaryotic LSU rRNA". It matches the Rfam family "Eukaryotic large subunit ribosomal RNA", at positions 88 to 647 of the family's 3401-position model. The record is from RNAcentral. Lineage: Eukaryota; Fungi; Basidiomycota; Microbotryomycetes; Leucosporidiales; Leucosporidiaceae.